This 72-nucleotide transfer RNA is filed under the name Vitis vinifera (wine grape). It matches the Rfam family "tRNA". From Rfam's summary of the family: Transfer RNA (tRNA) molecules are approximately 80 nucleotides in length. Their secondary structure includes four short double-helical elements and three loops (D, anti-codon, and T loops). Lineage: Eukaryota; Viridiplantae; Streptophyta; Magnoliopsida; Vitales; Vitaceae. The record is from Rfam by way of RNAcentral.
UCCUUAGUAGCUCAGUGGUAGAGCGGUCAGUUGUUAACUUACCGGUUGUAGGUUCGAAUCCUACUUAGGGAG